Herpailurus yagouaroundi (jaguarundi) is the source of this 477-nucleotide long non-coding RNA. RefSeq lists it as uncharacterized. The record is from RefSeq and is a predicted model, not a curated record. The transcript is spliced from 2 exons. NCBI's taxonomy places the organism in Eukaryota, Metazoa, Chordata, Mammalia, Carnivora, Felidae.
ACGGCUCACCGUCCCCUAGAGGGCAGCCCAGUCCCGCAGGCCAUCUGGAGUUGUUUUUCUCUGCAUGGCCAGGCACCUAAACUCCGUACAACGGGAUGUGUGCAGUUUCAGAAUUAUACCUUCCAAAAGAAGGAAGCAUGCGAACCUGUCCCCCCUCCCCUCUUCCUGCUAGCUGUAAUGCCGAUGUAAUGGUAUGGUCUGGAUCACGUGUUGGAUCCCAGAUAGAAGCGCUUGUUGAAGAUGACUGACCAACAAUAGAGAAUGACUCCUUGAGACCGUGGAGGCAUCAUGUCAACCUUGGAUUGUGAACAUCAUGUCAACCUUGGAGAGAAAUAAACCGUCAUCUUGUCUAGGCCUGCAUCGUCUAAUAUGGUAGCCAUCAGCCACAUGGGGCUAUUGGACAGUGAAAGUGUGGCUGGUGUCACACACUGAAAAUUUUGAUAUAUUGGAUUGAAUAAAAUAUGCUGUUAAAAGGAA